RNAcentral lists this ribosomal RNA (878 nucleotides) under Chlorophyllum lusitanicum. Its description in RNAcentral is "eukaryotic LSU rRNA". It matches the Rfam family "Eukaryotic large subunit ribosomal RNA", at positions 97 to 962 of the family's 3401-position model. Lineage: Eukaryota; Fungi; Basidiomycota; Agaricomycetes; Agaricales; Agaricaceae. The record is from RNAcentral.
AGCGGGAAAAGCUCAAAUUUAAAAUCUGGCGGUCUCUGGCCGUCCGAGUUGUAAUCUAGAGAAGUAAUGCCCRCGCUGGACCGUGUACAAGUCUCCUGGGAUGGAGCAUCAUAGAGGGUGAGAAUCCCGUCUCUGACACGGACUACCAGGGCUUUGUGGUAUGCUCUCAAAGAGUCGAGUUGUUUGGGAAUGCAGCUCAAAAUGGGUGGUAAAUUCCAUCUAAAGCUAAAUAUUGGCGAGAGACCGAUAGCGAACAAGUACCGUGAGGGAAAGAUGAAAAGAACUUUGGAAAGAGAGUUAAACAGUACGUGAAAUUGCUGAAAGGGAAACGCUUGAAGUCAGUCGCGUUGGCCAGGAAUCAGCCUCGCUUUUGCGUGGUGUACUUUCUGGUUGAUGGGUCAGCAUCAAUUUUGACCACUGGAAAAAGGCCUGGGGAAUGUGGCAGCUUCGGCUGUGUUAUAGCCCCUGGUUGCAUACAGUGGUUGGGAUUGAGGAACUCAGCACGCCGCAAGGCCGGGUUUCGACCACGUUCGUGCUUAGGAUGCUGGCAUAAUGGCUUUAAGCGACCCGUCUUGAAACACGGACCAAGGAGUCUAACAUGCCUGCGAGUAUUUGGGUGGAAAACCCGAGUGCGUAAUGAAAGUGAAAGUUGAGAUCCCUGUCGUGGGGAGCAUCGACGCCCGGACCAGAACUUUUGGGACGGAUCCGCGGUAGAGCAUGUAUGUUGGGACCCGAAAGAUGGUGAACUAUGCCUGAAUAGGGUGAAGCCAGAGGAAACUCUGGUGGAGGCUCGUAGCGAUUCUGACGUGCAAAUCGAUCGUCAAAUUUGGGUAUAGGGGCGAAAGACUAAUCGAACCAUCUAGUAGCUGGUUCCUGCC